This 2798-nucleotide long non-coding RNA is filed under the name Homo sapiens (human). RNAcentral's name for it is "HSALNT0360872". The record is from RNAcentral. Lineage: Eukaryota; Metazoa; Chordata; Mammalia; Primates; Hominidae.
AGUCCCCUCCCCACCCUAUCCUGGAGCUUGUCAAGGCCACCAGAGACCUGCUCCCUGUGCCGUCUCAGACUGGACUCUGGGGUCUCCGGUGCCUCCUCUGAUUCUGCACCUCGGUGCAGCCUCUGGCCUGGCUGCGCUCUGAGGAGCUCCCUGUGGCCACCGAGCCCUUGGAACGUGGCCAGUUCCAUUCUCAAACUGCUGUGAGUGCAAAGCUCAUGCUGGAUUUUGAAGAUUUGGUGAGAAAAAAAAUUUCUUUGUAAAAUGUCAGUAUUUCAUCAAUAGUAUAUUUUGUUGAUGAUAUGUUGAGAAACUAUUUUGGAUAUGUUUGUUUAAGUAGAUUGCUGGCCAGGCAUGGUGGCUCACUCCUGUAAUCCCAGCACUGGGAGGCCAAGGCAAGAGGAUCGCUUGAGGCCGGGUGGUUGAGGCUGCCGUGAGCUGUAAUGGUGCCACUGCCCUCCAGCAUGGAUGACAGAGACCCCACCUCUAAAAACAAUUAAUUAAUUAAAAUUAAAUCAGUAAAAAAUUUUUUUAAUUAAAAUUUUAAAAAAUAGAUUAUUAAAACAAAUAUCACCCAUUUACUUUUGCUUUUUUAGAAACAUUGGUACUGGAAGAUUUAGCAUUGGGUGUGCAGGGCCCACCCUCUUCGCUCAUGUCACUGGCCCCUUCCACUGGCGGCAUUGCAGGGGGAGCCGCCGUGCAUCCAGAAGUGAGGGUCCUGGCCUGGAGAUCUGCUCCCGCAAGUCCCCCAGGACUCCGGCUUCCUCUCAGGGGUUCACUUCUUUCUUGAAUUAGAGCUGGGUCUCCUGGCCACAAAGGAGCUGUAUCUUUGAGGCUUGGAGCCUUCCCCAAAUAUGCCUCGUAUGGCACGGGGCAGGCCUCUGGGCAGUGGGCAGCGGGGGCUCGCUGCUGCCAGUCCCUGACCCCCGCCUUGGUGUGAGUGCUUCAAGUGGCUUCCCCACUGCCGUUCAAACACGAUAACUUCAGAAGGUGGCAUUUGUACCUGACAUCUUGGGAAUCUUAAGACUUUUUCUAAUGGUUUCCAAGGACAGGCUAAUAAUCAGAGAGAUGAGAACAACCUGGUCAUCAUUAGGAAAACAAAAUGUUCUCACUGCACAGGAAAAUAAGGUUGAUAUUUCUGUGAACCUACUCAAAUUAACACCCAAUCAAAACCAAUUUUUUUUUUUGAGAUGGAAUCUCACCCUUGUUACCCAGGCUGGAGUGCAAUGGCGUGAUCUCGGCUCACCGCAACCUCUGCCUCCCGGGUUCAAGCAAUUCCCAGCCUCAGCCUCCCAAGUAGAUGAGAUUACAGGCAUGAGCCACCACGCCCGGCUAAUUUUGUACUUUUGGUAGAGACGGGAUUUCUCCAUGUUGGUCAGGCUGGUCUCGAACUCCCGACCUCAGGUGAUCUGCCUGUCUCAGCCUCCCAAAGUGCUGGGAUUACAGGUGUGUGCCACCAUGCCUACCCACAAACUGAUUUUUUAAAAAUUUAUCUAGAUUGUAAAAAAAUAUAUCUUCUUCUUUUUUUUUUUUUUUUUUUUCCUGAGACGGAGUCUCGCUCUGUCGUCCAGACUGGAGUGCAGUGGCGCAAUCUCAGCUCACUGCAAGCUAUGCCUCCCAGGUUCACACCAUUCUCCUGCCUCAGCCUUCUGAGUAGCUGUGACUACAGGCACCCGCCACCACGCCUGGCUAAUUUUUUGUAUUUUUAGUACAGAUAGAAUUUCACCCUGUUAGCCAGGAUGGUCUCAAUCUCCUGACCUUGUGAUCUGGCCGCCUCGGCCUCCCAAAGUGCUGGGAUUACAGGUGUGAGCCACCGCGCCCGGCCUGUCUUCUUCUUCCUAAGUAAGUGAAGGAAAUAAUGUAUACAGUGGUCCAUUUCCAAGACAAAGUGCCUUAAAUCAGCUUAGGUCAGCAAACUACAGAAGAAACAGGAUAUACUAGGCCCCUGCUUGGAUAGCUGAUGCCUUCUUGUCAGCCUUCUCCCUCCCCUUCUCCCUCCACUUAGUUGCCCUUACCCAAACCAGGGAAGUUUCGUCUAAGAUAAAAGUUUACUAGCCUGCAAAAUAGCUCGGUUUGUCUGUCCUUAUCAGCCUGCCCAGCUACUUAGCUCAUAAGUCAAAUACGCAGAGCCCCUGGGCUGACUGGGAUUGCAAUGCAUUGUGGGCUGCAACAAAAUGCAGCAGGACAACCCAAAAGAAGACACCUAAAGCUGCUGCCCAACAACCAAUGGGAAGACUGUGACCCCACAGUACUCAGCCUAUGAGGAUGCAGGGGAGGGGCCUGUGCACUGGGAGAUAAAUCGCUGGUUGUGACUGUGCUGUGAGUGCCUGCCCAUCAGAUAGAUACCUGAUCUUGCAAGACCGUCAUCAAAAGUCUCACUUUUGCUGUCUUCUGCGUUUCUAAAUCCAUUCUUUGGGUUCGGGCGAGUGAGUUUGUUUCUCACAGUAAGCUCUAGAACUUUGUGACUUAGCAGUUUAAGGAAAAAGCAAGUCUCUGUGGGGUCUCUCAAUGGCCAAAAAAUAGAGUGAGGAAUAAAUAGAGUUUUGUUUUGUUUUGUUUUGGUUUGUGGGUUUUGUUUCUUUGUUUGAAACAGGGUCUCACUCUGUCACCCAGGCUGAAGUGCAGUGGCACCAUCACAGAUCACUGCAGACUCCACCUCCUGGGCUCAAGCAAUCCUCCUGUCUCAGCCUCCCGAGUAGCUGGAACUCCCAAGUAACACACACAUUAGCAUGCCCAGCUAAUGUUUAAAUUAGGGUUUUAAUUCACAGAGAAAUAAAGAGCAUCUGAGCAUUCAUCUUCCA